Molecule: long non-coding RNA, 3069 nt
Filed under: Delphinapterus leucas (beluga whale)
Lineage: Eukaryota; Metazoa; Chordata; Mammalia; Artiodactyla; Monodontidae
Description: lncRNA (ENSDLEG00000009465.1)
Source: RNAcentral
CAGGGUAACAGAAAACACUGACCAGAUUUAGAACCCUUGAUUGGGGAAAUUGCUCUCUGAAACUCUCUACCUACAAAAUUAAAUAAUUAAAAAUAAAGAAAAAUAUCAUUUACCUUAUUACUGAAAUUAUUUUAAUAGCUAACUUUAGAAAAAUUAGAAAAUUUAAAUCAGUCAAAAUGAGGUAAAUAAGAACACCUGUAGCUCUACAACAGAGAGAUUGCCACUAUUGACAGGUUGGCUUCUAUAUUUUCAUUCUUUACACUCAUACGUACAUGAAUGAUGCACCUUAUUCAUAUGUAUUUGCUUUUGAAAAACAGGGAUUGUGUUUUAAGUAGUACUUAAAUUACGAGUGGAUAUCUUUGAAACAGAACAGAGUUAAAUUUAAUCACAGUCGUAAUCGUAAUCUUUAUAAUUUACCAUGCCAGGCACUGGUUUAGUAUAUUGAGUAUUUGAUCUCCUUUAAUCCUUCCAACAACCUUAUGAUAUUGGUAUAUUGUUAUAAAUUUUACAGAUUAAGAAACUGAGGCUAUAACCAGGCAACAGAUCAAGAUCCUGCCACUGGUUACUGGUGGAUCUAGAAGUCAAUCUCACAUGAAAUAUGGAUAAAGGGAGAGACCCAGAGGAAACUUUUUGAGCGAUGCUGGCCCCCACAAGACAAAGUAAUGAAGACCAAAGAGGGUGAAGCUAACCAGGAGCUACUGAUCAGUGAAAUUGGUUGCAACUGGGUGGAAGAGCUGCCCUGCUGGGAACUCCAACAAAUGGCAACAUCACUCAAAGAAUGCAAGAUCCUGCUGUGAAACAAUACAAAGUGGCCUGCACUUGAAUGCCUGGCUCAGGAACUUCCACAGUCAUCUGGCUCUUUAAGAAAGUUUGGUGAUAGAGAUAGGAUUUCUAAUGAGGAAGCAGCCACAAAGAAGCUGAUAUUGAUUCUGCUCUCAACAAGCAAAAUUCAGAAGAGGAUGCCCAUGUCUUGGAAUACCUGCAAUUAAUCUACAACCCCAGCAAUGCAGCAGCUGAGAGGCAUUUAUAACUAUGGCAAAAGAAAAAAGAAGUAAUUGGCUGCUUCCUUUACUCUAGCUCACUUUCCAUUGCCUAUAAUGUCUCAACCAAAAUGGUCUUUUGAAUAUUCAAAGAUCUCAGCUCAAUUUUAUUAAAUUAUCAUGAAUUUGAAAUUAAUAGGGCAUUACUAGCUUAACUUAAAAUUCUGACUUUUAAAUUGGUCUCUCUAGCAAACAAUAUAAUGAGCCAGAACUUGUAGGGGGUACAUGCGUUGUACUCACACAUAUAGAUUUACAAACAUAAAACACUAAAUUCUAUCAGCUUUAAAGAAGAACUAAUCUGUGCCCAUAAACUCAUUGAGAUAUCACUUUUCAGAAAGCAAAAAACAUUAAAGUGCCAUAUGCGACUGGAAAUAUUUUUGGAAAAUUAACCAGAGGGUAAUAUAAAGGCCAGAUAUGAAAAUAAUUGAUAGAAAAAGCUACAUCUUAAUCUUUGAGGAAAAAAGUCAAAGAUAUAGGAUAUUUUAUUCACAUGAAAUUCUGGUGCAAUAAAUUCAACAUUAAUUAUUGAUAAUAAAACUCUCAAGUAAAUAUAAACAGAGAGGGAAUUUUUAACCUGCUAAAAGGUAUAUCAGAAAACCGCCCUUAAACAACACACUGAAUAAUAAAAUGUUGAAGGCAUUUCCUUUAGAGUCGGUAGGAAGACAUUAUCAAUGACUCUACCCAACUUUGGACUGGAGAUCUUAGCUAAUGAAUCAAGAAAGACAAAGAAUGAAAGAAAAAUUUGAAGAAUUGCGGGGAAAAGGCAUAGAUUUUGAAGAUGAUAUGAUUAUCCAUGUAGAAAAGCCAAAAAGUGUACAAAAAAAUUAAAAAUUAAAAGAGUUCUGCAAGGUUGCUGGACCCAAAAUCUACGUUCAGUCAAUAGCAUUUCUGUAAACAGACUAAAUACACCAUUUAAAAUAGAACAGGUAAAAAAAAGGAAAGGCAAAGUACCUAGAAAUUAAUUUAGUGAAAGAUCUGCUAGAUAUUUAUGAAGAAAAAUAUAAAACGCUACUGAAGAACUUAAAAGAAAAUCUAUAUAAAUGGAGGGAGAUACACAUGUUCUUGCACGAUGAGACUCAGUAUCUUAACGUGUAAUUUAUCCCACAGUAAAUCUAUAAAGCCAAAGCAAUUCUAGCUGAAAUCUCAUCAUGAUCUUUUACGGAACUUGACAAAUUGCCUCUAAAAUUUAUACAUUAGUGAAGAGCUAAUUAUAGGCAAAAAGACAAUAUUGAAGAAGUUGGCCCACCUGCCACACACAAGGGCUUAUUAAGAAGUAACAGUAAUAAUAAUAGUACAAAGCAUGCCCAAUAGAACAGUGGAAUAAAAAUAUGGAAUGAAUACCCUAAUUAGACUUAAAAGCUUUUACACAGGAAAGGCAACCACUGGAAAAAUGAAAAAGUAACAGACUGAAUGGGAGAAAAUAUUUGCAGACGAUGCUACCAAUAAGAGAUUAAUUUCAAAAAUAUACAAACAGCUCAUACAUACCAAGAUCAAGAAAUAAACUAGUCUUGACAUUGAAAUCUGGGCAAUAAUUUGUUACCAUUGCAGAUAAGGGAUUAAUAUCCAGCACAUAUAAACAGCUCAUACAACUCAGCAUCAAAAAAUAAACAACAAUUAAAAAAUAAGCAAAGGAACUGAAUAGACAUUUUUCCAAAUUUUUCCAUACGGAUGGCCAACAGGCACAUGAAAAGAUGCUCAACAUCACUAAUCAUCAGGGAAAUGUAAAACCACAAUGAGAUAUCACCUCACACCUGUCAGAAUGGUUAUCAUCAAAAAGAACACAAACAACAAAUGUUGAUGAGGAUGUGGAGAAAAGGCAACCCUUGUACAUUGAUGAUGGGAAUGUAAAUUGGUGCAGCCACUGUGGAAAACAGUAUGGAGGUUUCUCAAAAAAAUAAAAAUACCAUAUGACCCAGCAAUUCCACUCCUGGGUAUAUAUCCCAAAAACACAAAAGCACUAAUUUGAAAAAAUAUAUGCACCCCAAUGUCCAUAGCAUUACUCAUAAUUGCCAAGUUGUGGAAACAACCU